Molecule: ribosomal RNA, 478 nt
Filed under: uncultured bacterium
Lineage: Bacteria
Description: bacterial SSU rRNA
Rfam family: Bacterial small subunit ribosomal RNA
Source: RNAcentral
AUUGAACGCUGGCGGCAUGCUUUACACAUGCAAGUCGAACGGCAGCGGGGGCUUCGGCCCGCCGGCGAGUGGCGAACGGGUGAGUAAUGCAUCGGAACGUGCCCAGUCGUGGGGGAUAACACAUCGAAAGAUGUGCUAAUACCGCAUACGUCCUGAGGGAGAAAGCGGGGGAUCUUCGGACCUCGCGCGAUUGGAGCGGCCGAUGUCGGAUUAGCUAGUUGGUGGGGUAAAGGCCCACCAAGGCGACGAUCCGUAGCGGGUCUGAGAGGAUGAUCCGCCACACUGGGACUGAGACACGGCCCAGACUCCUACGGGAGGCAGCAGUGGGGAAUUUUGGACAAUGGGGGCAACCCUGAUCCAGCCAUGCCGCGUGAGUGAAGAAGGCCUCGGUUGUAACUCUGUCCUGUGAGAAGAAGUAGACGGUAGCCAGAGGAAGCCCGGCUACUACGUGCCAGCAGCCGCGGUAAGUCACACUACA